AGAGUUUGAUCAUGGCUCAGGACGAACGCUGGCGGCGCGCCUAACACAUGCAAGUCGAACGAGAGAUGAGGAGCUUGCUCUUCAAAUCGAGUGGCGAACGGGUGAGUAACGCGUGAGGAACCUGCCUCAAAGAGGGGGACAACAGUUGGAAACGACUGCUAAUACCGCAUAAGCCCACGGCUCGGCAUCGAGCGGGGGGAAAAGGAGCAAUCCGCUUUGAGAUGGCCUCGCGUCCGAUUAGCUAGUUGGUGAGGUAAUGGCCCACCAAGGCGACGAUCGGUAGCCGGACUGAGAGGUUGAACGGCCACAUUGGGACUGAGACACGGCCCAGACUCCUACGGGAGGCAGCAGUGGGGAAUAUUGCACAAUGGGGGAAACCCUGAUGCAGCGACGCCGCGUGGAGGAAGAAGGUCUUCGGAUUGUAAACUCCUGUUGUUGAGGAAGAUAAUGACGGUACUCAACGAGGAAGUGACGGCUAACUACGUGCCAGCAGCCGCGGUAAAACGUAGGUCACAAGCGUUGUCCGGAAUUACUGGGUGUAAAGGGGGCGCAGGCGGGAGAACAAGUUGGAAGUGAAAUCCAUGGGCUCAACCCAUGAACUGCUUUCAAAACUGUUUUUCUUGAGUAGUGCAGAGGUAGGCGGAAUUCCCGGUGUAGCGGUGGAAUGCGUAGAUAUCGGGAGGAACACCAGUGGCGAAGGCGGCCUACUGGGCACCAACUGACGCUGAGGCUCGAAAGUGUGGGUAGCAAACAGGAUUAGAUACCCUGGUAGUCCACACCGUAAACGAUGAUUACUAGGUGUUGGAGGAUUGACCCCUUCAGUGCCGCAGUUAACACAAUAAGUAAUCCACCUGGGGAAUACGACCGCAAGGUUGAAACUCAAAGGAAUUGACGGGGGCCCGCACAAGCAGUGGAGUAUGUGGUUUAAUUCGACGCAACGCGAAGAACCUUACCAAGUCUUGACAUCCCUUGACGAUGCUGGAAACAGUAUUUCUCUUCGGAGCAAGGAGACAGGUGGUGCAUGGUUGUCGUCAGCUCGUGUCGUGAGAUGUUGGGUUAAGUCCCGCAACGAGCGCAACCCUUAUGGUCAGUUACUACGCAAGAGGACUCUGGCCAGACUGCCGUUGACAAAACGGAGGAAGGUGGGGAUGACGUCAAAUCAUCAUGCCCUUUAUGACUUGGGCUACACACGUACUACAAUGGCGUUAAACAAAGAGAAGCAAGACCGCGAGGUGGAGCAAAACUCAGAAACAACGUCCCAGUUCGGACUGCAGGCUGCAACUCGCCUGCACGAAGUCGGAAUUGCUAGUAAUCGUGGAUCAGCAUGCCACGGUGAAUACGUUCCCGGGCCUUGUACACACCGCCCGUC
Molecule: ribosomal RNA, 1369 nt
Filed under: metagenome
Description: bacterial SSU rRNA
Rfam family: Bacterial small subunit ribosomal RNA
Source: RNAcentral